RNAcentral lists this unclassified non-coding RNA (935 nucleotides) under Hevea brasiliensis (rubber tree). Lineage: Eukaryota; Viridiplantae; Streptophyta; Magnoliopsida; Malpighiales; Euphorbiaceae. The record is from RNAcentral.
AAUCAUGAAAAUUAAAUUUGAGAAUGUGAUUAUAACUGCCACCCAUAACAAAAUACUAAGCUCUUAAUACUCACUCCGGCGGCCCUAUGCAGCCACGCGCUUCUCCGACGAAUAGACCCACCAGCAGCGACAACUCGACCGAACCCAACAUCGGGAACUUCCCGAGAACCUCCAUCCACCGACGGGAAUCCGGCAACCCACACGAAGUUUCGGAUCCAGGGAAUAGCUUCAGAUCCGGCGAGGCAGAGCGGACCGUGGAUGAAGCCCCACGAAGAGUACACGCGCGCACUUCCGAUCGACGGCCACCCACGACCGCAGUAGACUCCGGUGCUUCACGGCGAUGGCCGAUUUUCCUGCACCGAAACAGUGGCCUUCAAGGUAAAGAGGGCUGCUUCAUCGAAGAAGAUGAAGAGAAGAUUGGAGGGAGAAGUCGAAGUCGAAGAAGAAGUGGAGAAAAGAAAUUCGGAAAAGCGCUCGCAAUAUGAUAGUCCGAAGGAAACGGCCAGAAAUGGAAGAAUCUGAUCGAUCGCAGCCGUCCGAUGUGUUCUCUCUCUACAGUUCCCGGUGAUAUAUAUAUAUAUACACACACCUCUGCUCCACCACUUUUCUCCACACUACAUCUCCGCCUGGCAUUUGUUGCUAGAGAGAGAAGAACAGAUACCUUAGACUCCUAGAGAGAGAGAGAGAAACUCGGUUGCCGAGUCAUGGCCGGACCCAGAGACAUCGACGAUCUGCCGAAGAACGAUGCCAACUACACCGCCUUGACGCCGCUGUGGUUCAUCGAGAGAGCCGCGUUGGUUCAUCCUUCCAGAUUAUCGGUCGUCCAUGGAUCUCGCCGCUACAACUGGCUUCAGACUUACCAACGCUGCCGCCGUUUGGCUUCCGCUCUCUCGAACCGCUCCAUCGGCGCCGGAGACACGGUAGCAAUAAUUGCA